RNAcentral lists this long non-coding RNA (666 nucleotides) under Cyanistes caeruleus (blue tit). RNAcentral's name for it is "lncRNA (ENSCCEG00000018324.1)". Lineage: Eukaryota; Metazoa; Chordata; Aves; Passeriformes; Paridae. The record is from RNAcentral.
AAAAAAGUUAGUUGAGGUGGACUGCUGGUUUAAAGUGGUUUUUUUUCUUAAGACAAAAUGUACUAGAAGAAAGCAGCAAAAAUAGAAAAAGCCAUUCUUGUCUCAGGUGCUGGAAAGACGUAGGCAGAACACAUGGUCUCAUCAGCUGCUCUGUGAUGUGGUGAACCUGUAGCAGGAUUGGGCUGUUGAGACUAUUAUUGAGUUACCUCAUUUGUCACAAGUUCACAGAAAUGUCUCAUAAAAAAGACGGCCUUGCAUGUCACAGUGAGACUCAGGUAGGAGAGAAAUAAGCAGCAGAACAAACCAGGUAUCUCCCAGGACUUGCUCAAGAUUUGGCCAAAGGUCACAUUGCAGAAAAGGAAAUAUUCAGGAAAAUACAACGACCAAAGGCAGGGAACAGCUUCCAUACAAGCUGUGACUUGGGAGAGGGAAGUGAUAGAGCAGCUUGGCAAGCACCCAACAGCCAGCCAAGGUUAACCCACAACAGAUGCCACAAAUAGAUGACAUGGAGAUGGUGGACAUGAAGGAGACAGGCACAUAAUAAUUCUAAAAUCAUGAAUGCCGUGGCAAAAGGAGACACUGCAUGCUGCCUCUUCAAAUACAAGAAUUAGGGGCAUGAAAUUAAUCUGAGAAGACCAUUAUAAAACAGAAAAAACAAUAAAAUUG